GACGAACGCUGGCGGCGUGCUUAACACAUGCAAGUCGAACGGAAAGGCCCUGCUUUUGUGGGGUGCUCGAGUGGCGAACGGGUGAGUAACACGUGAGUAACCUGCCCUUGACUUUGGGAUAACUUCAGGAAACUGGGGCUAAUACCGGAUAGGAGCUCCUGCUGCAUGGUGGGGGUUGGAAAGUUUCGGCGGUUGGGGAUGGACUCGCGGCUUAUCAGCUUGUUGGUGGGGUAGUGGCUUACCAAGGCUUUGACGGGUAGCCGGCCUGAGAGGGUGACCGGCCACAUUGGGACUGGGAUACGGCCCAGACUCCUACGGGAGGCAGCAGUGGGGAAUAUUGCACAAUGGGCGGAAGCCUGAUGCAGCAACGCCGCGUGCGGGAUAACGGCCUUCGGGUUGUAAACCGCUUUCGCCUGUGACGAAGCGUGAGUGACGGUAAUGGGUAAAGAAGCACCGGCUAACUACGUG
This 468-nucleotide ribosomal RNA is filed under the name uncultured bacterium. RNAcentral's name for it is "partial 16S ribosomal RNA". It matches the Rfam family "Bacterial small subunit ribosomal RNA", at positions 28 to 507 of the family's 1533-position model. The record is from RNAcentral.